AUACCUUUCUCGGCCUCUUGGCUAAGAUCAAGUGUAGUAUUUGUUCUUAUCAGUUUAAUAUCUGAUACGUGAAUCUACGGGUUCAUGAGAUAUUAAGUUUUUUUUUAUGGGGGGGAAUUUAUCUGCGUAGCUCGCUACAUGGAUGGUUUUCAUGUGCCGGUCAAGUGUUGCACUAUUGCUUGGAACCGGUUAGGAGGG
Molecule: small nuclear RNA, 198 nt
Organism: Aegilops tauschii subsp. strangulata
Lineage: Eukaryota; Viridiplantae; Streptophyta; Magnoliopsida; Poales; Poaceae
Product: U2 spliceosomal RNA
Source: RefSeq, a predicted model, not a curated record